This 402-nucleotide ribosomal RNA is filed under the name uncultured bacterium. Its description in RNAcentral is "bacterial SSU rRNA". It matches the Rfam family "Bacterial small subunit ribosomal RNA", at positions 355 to 774 of the family's 1533-position model. The record is from RNAcentral.
UGGGGAAUCUUGCACAAUGGGGGAAACCCUGAUGCAGCGACGCCGCGUGAACGAUGAAGCCCUUCGGGGUGUAAAGUUCUUUCGACAGGAACGAUAAUGACGGUACCUGGAGAAGAAGCUGCGGCUAACUACGUGCCAGCAGCCGCGGUAAUACGUAGGCAGCGAGCGUUGUUCGGAGUUACUGGGCGUAAAGAGUGCGUAGGCGGCGAGCCAAGUUUGGUGUGAAAUCUCCCGGCUUAACCGGGAGGGUGCGCCGAAAACUGGUUGGCUGGAGUAUGGGAGAGGACAGCGGAAUUCCUGGUGUUGCGGUGAAAUGCGUAGAUAUCAGGAGUAACACCUGCGGUGUAGACAGCUUUCUGGACCAAAACUGACGCUGAGGCACGAAAGCGUGGGUAGCAAACA